This 17-nucleotide ribosomal RNA is filed under the name Steinernema abbasi. RNAcentral's name for it is "partial 18S ribosomal RNA". The record is from RNAcentral. Lineage: Eukaryota; Metazoa; Nematoda; Chromadorea; Rhabditida; Steinernematidae.
UAUCUCACUAAAUGAGG